UGGCGGCAAACAAGGUUGGCGAGACCGAGGCCGUGUUUCACAUUAAAGGCGGCGCGGGCUCUGGCUGCUGGUGCGUCCUCUCCCUCCUGGCGCCGGUGGUCGCCUGGACGGCCGUAGGGCUUUGUCUGCUGCUGCUGUGGCGAGGGGCGGGCGAGGGUGGCGCUGGCGCCCAUGACAAGGCUCGGCCCGUCCAUGGCACGGACACGGAGGGCAUUCGCAUGGAAGUGGCAACUCCAGCCACGGACCUCCGUUCAUCACCAGAUUAGGACAGCAAGGCGUCGAGAUAAUCUCCUGGGGCUGUUAGUUAACACAGGGUGGUUCAUUGGUAGCUAAAACAAGUCUUGCAUUGACACAUUAACAGUUGGAUAAUUUGAAUUUAAUUCGGAGGAAAAAAUAUUACAAAUAGAAAUGUAAGUCUCAAGUGUAGAUUUCAAUAAACCCGGAUUAGACUGGGGCCUGGGGGGUUUUUUCUGCCCUGCUUUGCCAGAGUUCAGGGAUCUUUAUUGGAGCAGCAGUUGCACCACAAGCGAGCCACUGCAGAAGGUCCUCUAGACAUCGUCAUCGGCACUGUAUUAUACAAAUAUUUCCAGCAGCAUCUCUCAACCAUGAUUGUGCUUUCGUUUUUUGUUGUUGAAAAUCCUAAUCUUCUUGGUUCUUUUGGUAAAAUCUUAAUUUUGGAGCUUUCGUGACUGCAGGAAUUACUCUUUGGUUCUUUCGGUAAAGUCACGUAUAAAGAUAAAAUAAUAAAUUAAAUAAUAGCAUACGACGUUUCGAUUGCAACACAAGCAAUCAUCAUCAGGUAUAAAUGAAAUAGCAACAAAAAUCUAACCAGAAAACAAUAGACAGACAUAUAAGCAGGCAGAUAUCACGUGGAAGGGAAGUAAUAAAAUAAUAAAAAUAAAACAUAAUAUUUAUUUUAUUAUUUCCCUUCUACGUGGCUUUACUGAAAGAACCAAGAAGAUGAAUCCCUGCAGUCAUGAAAGCUUUAAAUCGAAAAGCCUAAUAUUAAUGUUUUUACUGUAACCGAGCUUGCUAAGAAAUUGUGAUAAUUGUGCUUGACUUGACAAUAUAUUGAGCCUGAUUAGUGCUCCCACAUUAAUAUUAGAGUUGUAAGGACCACUUGCAGCACUGACAAUAUUCAAAUUUCCUUCCAUUGAUUAACAUAUUUUCGCUUUACUGUUUUUUUGUAAUAAUCCCAAUGUUUUUCCUUUGGACGUGAAUUCAACAGAAGCGAAGUUGUAACAUACUGAGUUGUGGAAUUCAUGUUAUGCGAAUAACUACAAACAUGAUGAACUCUGUUGACGCAAACAUGGACGUGCGCGCUUUAUUGUAUUAUUCUGAUGAAAAAU
Long non-coding RNA from Lethenteron reissneri (Far Eastern brook lamprey), 1349 nucleotides. RefSeq lists it as uncharacterized. Lineage: Eukaryota; Metazoa; Chordata; Hyperoartia; Petromyzontiformes; Petromyzontidae. The record is from RefSeq and is a predicted model, not a curated record.